GAUAGAGAAGAGAAGAAAUUAUGAACCUGUAUCGGCUGAAUCAGAGAGAAUUCGAGUUAAGUUUGAAGGGACAAGAAAAGAUUUUGAUUUUGAUAGGGUUUUUCAUCAAGAAACAACUCAAGAAAGUGUAUUUGUUGAGGUGGAGCCAAUUCUAAGAUCUGCAAUGGACGGGCAUAAUGUGUGUGUUUUUGCUUAUGGUCAAACCGGCACAGGCAAGACAUUUACCAUGGAUGGUACAAAUGAGCAGUCAGGGAUUAUUCCUCGUGCUAUUGAAGAGCUCUUUCGUCAAGCAUCAAUGGACGCUUCGUCUACUUUUACUUUUUCAAUGAGUAUGUUGGAAGUUUACAUGGGCCAUGUCAGGGAUCAGCUGACUCCAAGGCAGUCUUGUAGAACACAUGAACCUCUCACUAAGUGGUAACCUUUUUACUUUUUU
Molecule: long non-coding RNA, 433 nt
Organism: Vicia villosa (hairy vetch)
Lineage: Eukaryota; Viridiplantae; Streptophyta; Magnoliopsida; Fabales; Fabaceae
Exons: 3
Source: RefSeq, a predicted model, not a curated record